AUAAGAUCUAAGUUUCAAGUUUUAGGGUCUUUUAUAGUAAGAUAAGGUUAAAAUAGAUUAAGGUAAUGUAAUGACAGAAUAUUAUGAAAAAUGGAAAGGAUUUGCUGUGACAAUUAACAACUAGGAUACAAAAAAGGGAGGAGUGAGGAGGUCAAAGAAAGAAGGUAAUGACAGUUAAGGAUUUGAGAAUAUUGGACUUGUUUUUUAAAUGUUUAUGGCUUAUUUUUGUUUUUUGAUUGUGUUGUGUUACGUGCUUUGUUCUUAUUUUUUUGAUUUUGAUUUUUAUCAAUUUGUAUUGUUUGAUUGUGGUUUGUUUUUCUUCUGUUUUUUCUUUUUCUUUUUCUUUUUUGUUUUUUCUGUAACUUUAAAAUUCUUAAUAAAUAUCAUUUAAAAAUAAAUAAAUAGAUAAGCACCAGACUUCAUAGAUGAACACUAACACACUCCACCCUGAAAAUUGUUUAAUGCAUCAGACCUGGAGCAAGUUAAUGAAACUUUUAUCACCUGAAGGAAUGAACAGUCUGAGAAGCUGUUGGUCUCCAGUACUCCUAUCCAUCUAUUUUCCCCACUUAUGUGGGCAAUAGGCCCAAGAGAAGGUUGUCGUUUGGGAAAUACUGUUCUUUCUCUCCCUCCUUUGAGUCCUGCUAAGCACUGUUGCAGAAAGUGGCUAACAUUUAUUUUUGUACAACCAGGAGCAUUUCUUCUAAACAACAGUUUUCUUACAGUCUGCAAGUAUAUGAGAAAUCAUGAUCUGCCUUCACACUAGGUUUGAGUAGGUUGUCAGAAUAGUGCUGCCAACUGACCCACUGUGGCCUUCCUAGGGGAACUGAGCAGCUGCUUGGCUCUGGUGGGAGCCAUUUAAUGAUUUCCCACAAUGCAAUGCCCUUGAGCAACUGAUGGAGUGCUGCUACACUGUACACAUGCAUCACUACUUUUCAAUACUUGUUAUCAAAUUAGCCAUAUAAUCAUCUCCCACAUGGAACCAGUGUUUCACACACAAUUUUAUUGUCAUACUUCUGUACCACUUUUCAUCACACUGUGAGCAAAAGUGGUUCCAACAUCACUUCAGAUUUGUAAAACAGUUAAAAGUGCAACAAUAAUUUCAGAACAGAAACAAGAAGGAGCCCCAAAGUAAAAACAGUUCAAAAACCCAGAGCAACUUGCAUCAAUACUCAGGACCCCGAUUAUUCAGGGAUUUAUACCAACACCAUGAAUACCAACACCAUGAAUAUAGCCCGGUAACAUGCAUGUAGGUUAGGUCCCUCAUCCAUAAUCGAAUCAUGGGAUCAUGGGACAUUCAUGAGGGCAAAUUGACAUGGCUACCUAGGGGGAUAGGGACAGAUAGAGAAUGGUCCAACAGAGGGGAUAGCUUUGAAAUACCGUAUGUGCCACGUCUUCUCGAUUCUUGAAUGCCAUAUCUUGUUUAGUUUAUUGAAUUUAAUUUAUUAAUAAAAUAUUAUAUUUAUAUCACUCACUCAUGAUAUAUCAAAGCAGUGUGUGUGUGUGUGUGUGUGUGUGUGUAUACACACACAUUUCUCCUUAAAAGAAUACAAAAUAAUCGCGUCUGGUUCAUCUUGGGGGGAAAAGAACAACUACUGAAUAGGUCUGUCAAUAUCAAAAGUCUUCCAAAGAUAUUAGCACCAAAGAUGCCUGCCAAAUCUUCUGGAAGGGAAUUCCACCACAUUGGCCUAGCAACACUAAGUGCUCAACUUCAAACUGAAGACAGCUGAGCUUCUAAGAUGCAGGAGACAACUAAGAGCACUCAUUUGGAUGAUCUGAAUAAUUGAGCUGGGAUAUAUACACUCAGGCAGUCCUUAAGAUAUUUAGCACUGUUGUUCCAGGCACUGUAUAUAUAAGAAACGUGAACCUGGCUCAGUAGCAUAUGUGCAUAUGUUUUAGCAGAGGUAUCACGUGCUGCUGGCCAUCUGUACCCAUCUAGCCAUUGCAUUCGUCGCUAGCUGAAGCUUCCAGACCAGACCCAAGGGCAGCUGCACGUACAGCACUCUGCAGUAAUCUAGUCUUAAAGUUACCGAUGUGUUAAUAACAGCAGCCAGACUAUUCUCAUUCAGAUACAACAUAGCUAGUGUACCAAACAAAGGUGGUAAAAGGCAUUCCACAGAAUGGGCUUGAAAUGACAAAGAUGUAUCCAGGUGUACCUCCAUGCUAUGUACCUGCUCCUUCAAGGUGAGCACAACUCUGUCCAGAAGUGGCAACUGGCCUAUAUUCUAGAUAUGGAAACAACCUACCGACAGAGUCUCCAUCUUCCCAAUGUUCAAACCCAAUUUACUGGCCAUCAUCCAGUCCACCACUGCAUUCAGAGCCAAUGAGAGAGGGAGACAACUACCUCUAGUUCUGUCCCCAUCCUCUCUGCUGAGUUCUACAAGGACAACACCAAGGAGGAGGAAGCUGACAGGAAGUCCAUCCUCUGGACUGGAUGUAAGAAAGAAGGCAGGCAGGUUGAAGGGUGGGGCAGAAUGAGUUUGGUGGGGCAGUGCAAUAUUUGCCCUUAUAGACCAGCCUUCACUGCACUGGGGCAAAAACAGUGCCCUGCUGAACCUCAUAGCACAAGUGUCGUAGAGCCAAAGAGGACUCUCCCAUUACUACUCUGUUGAUUCAACCGUACAGCUAGGAACAAAAUCAUUGUAAUACAGUGUGUCUAGCACCCAUCCUGAAUGGUCAGUCCAGUGGCUAGAAAAGUAAGAAUAGAAGGGUUGUACUCCCCCAUCCCACUUUCAAUUUUAAAGACCAUUAGGAUGACCAGGACUGCUUCAGUCCUGAAAUCAGGCCUUAUCCCAUGUUAAAAUUGCUAAGAAACUAUCAGGAUGUCCUGGUCCUCCCUUCUUCCAUAUUUGUAUGAGCCCAGCUAUGAUGGUAUGAGCUCCUAAAGCAUGUACUGUAUGUGGUAGCUGCGGGCAAUUAUUAAUCAGUCUAAAAUAUUUAUCACCCCCACCACAUAUUUUACAGGUGCAUGACAGGGAUGUAUGAGGAUUUUUAGAAUAGUUGUAAUAUUUUUAUUUAUUUUUAAAAUUACGUUUAUAUGCUGCCCUUCACCCGCAGAUCUCAGGGCAGUUAACAAAAUAAUAAAAGGUUGUUUUCGAAAUUCUUAAAAUACCAUCGAGUUGCAUCUUACACGCAUGUAACUUGCGCAACUGCAGUUUUUCCUGCUUGGUGGCUGGUCAGCUGACAUUGCACAAAUUAAAUGCAUGCAAGGCAGACAGCUUAAAAGCUAUUUCCGUCACAGGAUAACCCAGUGCAGAAAGAGGUUUUAAGCUCUCAGGCUUGCUUACUGGGCUCUGGAAGGCUCUUGUGAAAUCUCGGAUGGCCCCAUGAGAUAUUGUAGGUGGUAAGGCCCAUUUGGCAUGCUGGCUUCACAAAGGUAAGGGUGCUCAUGUGGAGGAAGUUCCAGGGUUGUUUUGACUAUACAUGGUUUUGGCUUUACACACAAUCCCCAGAACACAACCCCAACCAAAGCUGCAAGUUGAUUGUAUUUAGUUUACUUUAUAUUAAGUGUAAUUUUAAUUAAAAAGUGUAAUUUUAAUGUUCUAUCUAGUUUAUGCACAUAGGUACUCUUCCAUCCUUAUUAGAAGCCAUACUUCUUUAUUUCUCUUUGAGUUGCAACAUACAAAUAAGAACUGGAUAAAACAUAUAAUAAAUUAUCAAGUGUAGCAUUUUUGUUACUUUUACCUAAAUUCUGGCUUGCGGUCAUACGUGUGUGUGUGUGUGUGACUAAUCUAUUAAAAUCACAUUAUGCCUGAUAAGAAAGCAGUAAGCCACUCUGAUUGCUGAGUGACAGACUUAAGAACAGUCUCAACACAUUCUUUAUGGCAUUCAGCCAAUCUCUCUAGGAACACAAUGACCCCAACUUUAUUCAUAAAUCUUAGUUUGAAAAAUACUCUAUUCCCUAAAGCAAUUCUCAGCACUCCUUUAAAAGCUUUGGUGGGGCGGGGGGGGGCGGCAGGGAGAGAUCAGAUUAGAGUUAAACAGGUUAUGCAGAUGUUAUGAGAAUGUAACUUCUAAAAAUAACUUCAUAGAUCAAUUUAAGUAAACUUCAAAUAGAAAUCUCACCUUCUGCACAGCACACCACUUGUGUGUUACAUAAUUCUGCUCUCAAAUUAUCAGAUUGAUAUAGUAACUGUGAAAGAAAGCCUUAGACACAAAAGGACGCUUGUACUUUAAAUGGAUUUCUGUCUUGAAAGUUUUAUGCCAAUACAUUAUGUACAGUAUCUGAUGGAGCUAUUAUGCUUGACAUUGUUUUUUUAGAAUGCCUCCAGGUGGACAAGAAGAGAAUAAAUCCUUUUAAUAUAUAUGCUCACCAAAUGCAUUCAUAAAAGCUAUAUUGGGGAGGAAGAUUUUGGUAUUAUCUCCUAACUCUUAUUGCAAUUUUCUAUAGGAAAAAAUAAAGUACAACUUAGACAUAUUUGAUG
This 4421-nucleotide long non-coding RNA is filed under the name Podarcis lilfordi (Lilford's wall lizard). The record is from RNAcentral. Lineage: Eukaryota; Metazoa; Chordata; Lepidosauria; Squamata; Lacertidae.